AAUCGUCUAGGACACCGUGCUUUUCAGAGCAAUGAAAUAUAUCAUUUCAUUGCCUUAUAAAAAAUAAAUAAAUUAAUAAAAUGUGACACCAUGCUAUAACAAGUUUGUGAUGAGUGCUCCAGGGAGGAAGUGUUCCACUUAACCAUUUAAGUCAAGCAAAGUGAAGUUAAUCUGAGUGCUGAGAGGUCACAGAGCAGAAACAUUGCAAAAUUCAAACUGAUAGUCUGUUCUGACUAAGAGUCUGCAUCAAUAUGAUGCGAUUUUUUUUUUUUAAAUCAGUGUUCAUCUUUAAUAACUGGCUUUACUGAUCGGUUGCAACUUUAGCCUGGAAGUUGGGGCAUUUCUACGUAACAAAAUUAUAGACAGUAGAGGAAGAAUGAUGAGGGACAGAAAGCAGUAAGGAUGUCUGGUAUUUUUCACAGACAUAAAUAUCCAAAUCAGGACUGUUAUGCAAGAAGAAGAACAAACAGUAACCUUAAUGCUACUUGUAAACUUUGCUGCCUGCGGGAGGAAGUAGCCAAUCUGUCAAAGUGAAUUAGGAACCUCAUCUUCCAGGAGUAUUGGAAACAAUGGUCUAUCAGAAGAUGGAAAGGAGACGAAGAUCAUCUCCACCUAAUAAAAGGAAAUAUGAGUCAACCAAAACACUUGCAUUGUCACACAAAAAAAAAAAAACAUUUUCCUACAGCUGUAUCCAGUAAGUGUGGACUCAUCUUCUCUCUCUCUCUCUGUUACGAUUCACAGCUGGCUUAUAGAGUGACCCCGAGGACAUUCACCACUACUCAUGGAGUUCUCAAGACAAAGAGGGAAAUGGAAGUAGGUUGCCAGGUCUGUCUUCCUUAUCACACAUGCACUCUAUCACCUGCAGCCAAUUUAGAGUCUCCAUUCCACCUACGGAAUGUUUAAAUUGUGGGAAAAACUGGAGCACCUGCAGAAAACCCCCACAAAGCAUCCAAGCUGAGAAACGAACCAGAGAACAUGUUGCUACGAGGCAAUGCUACCUGCUGAGCACUGCGAGCCAUGCAAACUCAUCAGUAUUUUCAGUAUCUAAUUUCAGAAGUCCUUGUACAUCCUGGUUUAAAUACAACACUAAAACUAUGGCAGCAAACUGGCAUCUUGCUGUUGGCAUGAUUUGCUAAGCAUGCGCAUUGAAAUGGUCAGCCUGGGAUGUACAGGGCUGGAGUUAUUCGGAAAAUUUGCAAAAGUUAUAGAAUUAUGUCAUUUUCCUUAUCUGCAGUACUAAUGCAAACAUGGAGUGGGAUACAGUCAUGAUGGGGAGUCACAUAUGCAAGCAAUAGGUAUUAUUAAAAAAUGACAUUAAAAAAGUG
Protopterus annectens (West African lungfish) is the source of this 1325-nucleotide long non-coding RNA. RefSeq lists it as uncharacterized. NCBI's taxonomy places the organism in Eukaryota, Metazoa, Chordata, Ceratodontiformes, Protopteridae. The record is from RefSeq and is a predicted model, not a curated record. The transcript is spliced from 3 exons.